GUUUACCUUGGUAGCGCAUACCCCGAAGUUGUAAUGAUACAGAGAAACAUCAUAGCCUCUGUACAAGGAUUACACACAAAGUUGCAAAGCAUUCCGUAUUUUA
Mustela erminea (ermine) is the source of this 103-nucleotide small nuclear RNA. NCBI's taxonomy places the organism in Eukaryota, Metazoa, Chordata, Mammalia, Carnivora, Mustelidae. The record is from RefSeq and is a predicted model, not a curated record.